AUUCUCACUCCUCGGUAAACCGGGUGUCGAGUCUCUCUAAACUUCUUCCUUCCGGCCCUCUUCUUCGGGUUUCGUGAAGCCAACAUCACUUCGGAUUCAGCAGCCGCAUUCAAGACUGAGCUUUUGCUACGACAUGAGGUCAAAAAGUGUGCUAAUGGAACACUUUCUGAUGAUACUGAUGGAAAUGGAUUGUACGAUUCGAUAAAGGCAUCCAUAAAUAUGUGAGGUGAAGUUACGGUUUGUUGGUAGUUUUUGCAAGUUAGAUAUAAGUUAUGACUUUUGAGAGAAGUAAUUGUUUGUUGGGAGUGUUUGUGAGUGACUUUAACUUGUUGAUAUGAGAAUGGCGAUGUAUAUAUAGAUAUUUGUGGAUUCUCUGUGGUGGGGUUACCAGCUGGUGGUUUGCGUGGUAGAGGAUGGAGGCUUUGACAAGUGGCUUCAUUUUUUAUUUACUUUGAACGCGUGAUAUUUGGGAGGAUAGAUUAAGAAUUGUCCCUAUAGUAUUGAGUAAUAUACAGCUUCAGUCCAAUAGAUUCGAAGGUUGUAGUUGAUGUACAAAAUAGUUUUGUGUAAAAGCAUGCCUAAUUUUAUAUACCGUCUACAUUAAUAUAUAAAGGGCGUGUUUGGCAUGGAGCUUUUGGAAGCGUUUGGGAGCUUCUAGCUUUUAGCUUUUGACAAAACGCUCUAGUUUAAACAAAAAGUUUCGUUUGGCAAUACGAACGUUUAGUUUUUAGUUUUAACAAAACGCUCCGAUUCUAAAAGCUACUUCAUGUAGCUUUUAAUAAAACGCUUCGGAGCUUUUGAAAUCAAUUUCCAUAAUUACCCUUAAAAAUAUAUUUAUAUAUUUUUUUAUUUUUAAUCAAUUGUCCUUUUAUGUAAUUUUAUAUAUUUCAAAAGCUUCCAGCUACUUUUGCCAAACAUUCAUAUAACAAAUAAAAGCUACAACUUUCCGCUACCAACUACCAGCUACACGCUAUCAGCUACCCGCUACCAGCUAACCGCUACCCGCUUCCAGCUAACAGCUACUUUUGCCAAACACGCCCAAAGUAUCAUUAUUUACACAACGCAUGGUAAGCUUUUUAAUCAGUUUACAAGAUUUAUAUUCCAUUUAUUUUGUAUCUUUUAAAAAAAAGAAAUUGAUAUAACUUAAAAUCACGCCUUAAUUAGAAUUACACAUCAAAAUCAUAAUAAUUGCAUGUUAAAUCAAACACAAAAUCAUUUCUUUUAAAUCAAAACCUCCAACCCAUGAUGCAUUUGCCAUUAACACAACUAACUAAUGUUUUAAAAACCGGUUUUUUAGUUGAACCGGUAUGACGAUCGGUUUCUGGUUUAACCGGUUCGACCGCCGGGUCAACCGGUUUCUAUGAUUUUUUUUUCUUAUUUUUCUGCACAUAUAUACGUACAUAAUUCAUGAAUUUAACGUCUACAAGUUUAAACAUUAAAAAUACACAUAAAAAUAAGUUGUAGAUCAAUAUAAAUACAUUAAAAUAACACAUAACUAUAAGUUUUUACAUCAAUUCACAUACAUCAAAAACAAAAUAAAAUAUAAUACAAAAACAAAAUAUAGUUUUAAAUGAAUACAAGUGCAUCAAAAAAACAUCAUAACAUUUACCAUAUGUUGUUUGAGAAAUCUAAAUAGAUUUGAAAAAGUUCACCAAUGUUUAUUAUUGAAAAUGGUUUUUUUCCAUGUAUUUUUAUUUAGUUUAACCGGUUUAUUUUGACCGGUUCAACCGGUUUUCUCUAAAAACCGGCCGGUUCAAUCCGGUUCAGAAAUUAGUGUAAAACCGGUGAUAGUUGAACUGCUCUCUUCUCCGGUUCCCGGUCCAACCGGUUCUUAAAACACUGCAACUAACAAACUUAAUCUGAAUAUAACAUACAAUAGCAAAAAAUUUCAAUUUCUAUGCCAAGAUGGUAUUCACUACAAGAAAAAACAUAAAUAUCUACGGAAUCAAAAUUCGUAGCUAUUAUAUUAUGGAAUAUAAUACAAAAUGAUUUGUGUAGCUAUUUUGCUACGGAAAUGACUUUCUAGCUAAAUUAGGAAUAGUUACAAAGAGUUGUUACAUAAUCAAAAUUCUUAGAUAUUCUACUACGAAAUAUGCUACAACGGCUAGUCGUAGCUAUUUUCUAUGGAAAUGGCUACGGAGUUGUAUCUACAAAGCUAAAUCUCGAAUUGUUGCUAUACAAUCAAAUUUUGUAUCUAUUUUACUACGCAAUAUGCUACGAGAUUGUUGGUUGUAGCUAGUUUCCUACGGAAGUUGUUACAUAAUCCAUUUUCGUAAUUAGUUGGCUAUAAAAUCGUUUACGUAAUCAAAAUCCGUAGUUAGUUGGCCACGGAAUUGAAAUCCAUAGCUAUUUUGCGUCAAAAAUUUGCUACAAAAUAAAAAUCUAUAGCUAAUUUGCUACGAAACUUUUUACGAAGAGGCUAAUCGUUCUUAUUUGCGUAUAUAAGUUGUUUUUGACUUUUUAAAAUAGCUAGGAAAUCUAAAUCUGUAGCUAUGUGGUUACCCAAUAUUAUUUAGUCAACUAGCUAUGGAAUAUAUUUUCGUACUAAAAUAUAAAAAAAAUAUUAUCAACAAAAAAUAAAUUAUUGUUUUUAAUCAUUAUUUUUAAUUAUAAGUUAAUUAUCAUUGAUAAAAACCUUUACAUAUUAUCAUAAUUUUUUUAUUUAUUCUUAUUUUCAUUAUUUGGGAGGAUAGAUUAAGAAUUGUCCCUAUAGUAUUGAGUAAUAUACAGCUUCAGUCCAAUAGAUUCGAAGGUUGUAGUUGAUGUACAAAAUAGUUUUGUGUAAAAGCAUGCCUAAUUUUAUAUACCGUCUACAUUAAUAUAUUAAUAUGUUAAGGGGAAAUCUUUAGAAAAAUUCUAAAAUUUUAGGACAAUUUAUUAAAAAGUCUCAAACUAAAUUUUGUUUAUAGAAAAGCACAAAUUACCGGCUAAAACUUCAAAAAAAACCCUUUUGUCCGGUUUUGUAGAUUUAGCCGGUAUUUUGUCCUUUUUCGUUAGUUUGUUCAAAAUAUUAGGAUUUUUUUGAAAAAUACUCAAUAACUAAAAUAUUAUGAGGUUUCUGAAAAAUACUAUGAAAUUAAUGGAUAUUAUUAUUAACAAAUCAUUUAUAAACAUAACAAUUUUUUUUUUAUUAUAAACAGAGAAAAUACAUUUGUUUCUAAUUUCUAGGAAUAGAAUGGUCGACUAGUUCUAUUGUUUCUUGACCACUUUAAACUCCUUAUGUUUCUCCUAUGUAUCGGUGUGAGUGUCAGCGAGAUGCACUAUGUACGUUUUCUUCAAUUAAAGACAGUAGUUGAUAAUAUUUAUUAAUACACAAUCAAUAAGUGUCUACUUUCGAUUAGGUGUGACGUUAUAGGAUCACAUGUUAUUAGCAAAUAUAAUUACAUAAUGAUUCUUGAACAUAUAGAUCUUUCAUUAUGUUCUUUAAUGUAAAUACCACCUAACCUUCAUACGUUAUUCGGUAACAACUAUCAAAUUACAAACAUAGUGAAAAAUAAAUUUUGAAUGACAAUUUAAAUAGAUAAUCACCCUACACUUUUUUCCAUAUAAAUUAUCAUUCACGAUUCACUUUUUCACAUUUGAUAGAUGUAUGUUAGCCUAUGGUUGUUAUCGUGUGAGGUGUGGAUGUAGGGUGAUAGUUAAGUUAAACAACAUAAGAGGAACACCAACAUUAGAGGAAUACUCACUGAGUACAUCCCACCAUCAUACCCACAACGAUGCAUAGGAGGAACAUAGAGAGUUUGAUGUGGUCAAUAAGCAAUAGAGGAGUACUUAGACUACCAAUUUAUUCAUAGAAAUUGACAACAAGUGUAUUUUCUUUUUUAUAAUAAAAAUAUUUGUUAUGUUUAUAAAUGAUUUGUUAAUAUGGUAAUUUUCGGAAAAGUCUCAAUAUUUUGGUUAUCAGUUAGUUUCCGGAAAAGUCCCAAAAUUUUAAGCAAACUAACGAAAAAAGACAGAAAACCGGCUAAGUCUACAAAACCGGCCGAAAGUGGUUUUUUUCGAAAUUUUAAUUGGUAUUCUUUGCUUUUCUGUAAACAAAAUUUAGUUUGAGACUUAAUCGUAAAUUGGACUAAAAUUUUGGGACUUUUUUUUUUGAGAUUUCUUUAUGUUAAGUAUCAUAAUUUACACUACACAUGGUAAGUUUUUUAAUCAGUUUACAACAUUUAUAUUCCAUUUAUUUUGUUUCUUUAAAAAAAAUUGAUAUAACUUAAAAUCACGCCUUAAUUAAAAUUAUACAUCAAAAUCAUAAUAAUUGCAUUUUCAAAUCAAACACAAAACCGUUGUUUUCUUAAAAUAAAAACCUCAAACUCAUGAUGCAUUUGCCAUUUACACAACUAAUAAACUUAAUCUUAAUAAAACAUACCAUAGCAAAAAAAUUCUGGUUUCUAUGCCAACGUGGCAUUAACUACAAAACAAACACUUAAAUAGCUAUGGAAUGAAAAUCCGUAACUAUUAUAUUACGGAAUAUGAUACAAAAUAACUUUUAUGCUAUUUUGCUAUCGAAAUGAUUUUGUAGCUAAAUUAGGAAUAGCUACAAAGAGUUGCUAGAUAAUCAAAAUUCGUAUAUAUUCUAUACUACGAAAUAUGCUACAUAAUUGCUAGUCGUAGCUUUUUUUAUACGAAAAUGGCUACGUAGUUGAAUUUCCAAAGCUAAAUCUUGAAUUGUUGUUACACAAUCAAAAUUUGUAUCUAUUUUACUACGCAAUAUGCUACGAGAUUGUUGGUUGUAGCUAGUUUCCUAUGAAAGUUGUUACAUAAUCCAUUUUCGUAAUUAGUUGGCUAUAAAAUCGUUUACGUAAUCAAAAUCUGUAGCUAGUUGGCUACAAAAUUGAAAUCCAUAGCUAUUUUGCGUCAAAAAUUUGCUACAAAAUAAAAAUCUAUAGCUAAUUUGCUACGAAACUUUUUACGAAGAGGCUAAUCAUUGUUAUUUGCGUAUAUAAGUUGUUUUUGAGUUUCUAAAAUAGCUACGAAAUCUAAAUCUGUAGCUAUGUGGUUACGGAAUAUUAUGUAAUCAAUUAGUAUGAAAUAAAUUUCCGUACUACAAUAUAUAAAAUAUUUUAUCAACAAAAAGUAAAUUAUUGUUUUCAAUCAUUAUUUUUAAUUAUAAUUUAAUUAUCAUUGAUGAAAACCUUUACAUAUUAUCAUAAUUUUUUUAUUUAUACUUAUUUUCAUUAUUUUGUUAUAUCUUAUUUUAAUAGGGAUAGGCUUUGCAAUUCAAUAGGGCAAGUGUAUAAGUGCAUGUUUUCCUUUUUAUUUAAUCCAAAUUGCAAAGCGGUUCAUCAAGUUAUACAAUGAGGUUAAAAUAGUCCAUAGUUUCGACGGAGUUCUAACGAUCGUCGAAUGCUACCGACAUUACACAGAUCUCCGGUGAUGUAAUUAGCCAAAACUUGUUCAACAAUAAUAUAUCUAUUUGGCUUCUACGGAUGACCUUCCCGAUGAUUUCGGCGGCAAGAUGAGGUCUCGACCACAAAUAAAAUGCAGAAAGUUGGAGUAAUGAGGGAAAGCGAGUUAGAUAACUAAAUUUGCAAGAAUCUAACGAGACGGUGGCCGGUUUUUUGCUUACUGAUGCAACAAUGCUACUUCUUGUUUUUAAGGCUUCAGAACUUGGCUGGAGAUCGAGUAUGAUCGAAUCGAAAAUUAGUACUCAUGAAAAAACCAAAUGUAGUAGUAUCCCGACUAAUAAAUUGAAGGGAAACUUAAAUCGUCUCGAUGUUCCAUGCAAGUCAAUCACAAUAUCUGCUAGCGUUUGAAUUGUACACACUUAUGUUUUGUUCUUGGAGAAAAGUUUGAUUGAUUUUAUUGAAGUACAAGUUGUUACCCGCUUUGGUUCGAUUGGUAAAAGGCUAAACUUUUGUCUAAAUUAGUGAUACGGACACUCGAUGGUAAAAAUCGUAACACCUUGUUCCAAAUCGUUUCCUAAUGUGGGGUGGUAACCCGAAGACCGAGCAUCAUCAGGUUUAGGGCCUGUGAAGAAAAGAGAUUUACACCCAUUUGUGUGUGGGUAAUGUAAUUUGGAUAAUCCGGGAGUUAGGUUUGUAUUUUGGAGCCAAGGGGUAUUUCGGUAAAGUGUCAGUCCAGGCUUUACAAAAAAUGGAUUUUUGUUCAUGAAGUUUUAAGGCAAGUAUGAGUUGACAAAAGUUUAAUGCUUCUCGUUACCUCUUCGUGGAUAUAAGGAUCGUCAAAACGGACUUAUAACCAAGAAGUUAUAGCCUUUAAAAGAUUCAUGGUUUUAGGGUUUAACUAGGUACACGGGGUGUACACAUGUGUACGCAUGACAUACUAGUGCUAAGACCAGUAUGUCGGGCAUACAUUGGCGUACAUUGGGCGUACUAAGCAAAGUGAUCGUGGAGCCUUAAGGGAGUACACUGGGUGUGCCAGAAGUACGUUGGAUGUACUCUAGUCAGACCUAAACCCUAAUUUAGGGUCUUGGACCCUAUUUAAGCUCCUUAACUCACCACCAAACCCUGUUAUCUUCAACCUCCAUCCCUCUUAACCCUAGAAACGAUACCCUAACCCCAUCUGAGUGGAUUUUGAGCUUUUGGUGGUAUUUCAUGCUUGUUAGUGUUCAUAGAAGAAGAAGGAACUUCUUGGACAAGUGUGGGAUUGCUUGAAGCUUUUGGAUCUAGGCUUGUUGCAUCUUGAUCUACAUUUUGGAGGUAUAAUGUUUCUAUCUUGUUGAAUCUAGGUGUUAGAUCUAGUUUAGGGGGUAUUUUGGGUUCAUUUUGGUCCUUAGAGUCAUCCUUGUGAGUAUGAGCUACUCCAAGAACUUAGAAUGAUGGAUCUUGGCCUUUUGGAGGUCCCUUGUUCAUAAAAAUGCCAUCUUGAUAAAUUAUCUUGGACCAUGCAUGAGUUUGGAUGUUUAUUAUCGGUGUUAUUAAGAUUUGGUCCCAUUAAGCCAUGCAAAGGAGUAAAUUUGCCAACUUUACGUGUUAAGACAUUUCAUUAGGGCCAUAUCUGAGUUUGGAUGUCAUUGGCUUAACCAUUAAGAGAUUAAUAUGGAUUUUUGGUCCCUGAUGACUACAUUGGGCAUACGCAAGAAGUACGCUCAACAUAAUGGAGGUUUUGUACAUCAACCGCUUGUACUAUGUUCUUCGAGGGUGAGUACAUGGUGCAUACCAUUCUGGUAUGCGAGGCGUACUCCCCAAUUUUCUAUUUUGGGCUUUUUGAGAUUUAGGCCUUGUUGGGCCAUUGGACUUUAGACUUUUAGCCAUGGAUGGACUUAGGGUUUUCUUGGAAGUAGGAUUGAACUCUGUUAACUGUUUUCUUAUAAAAGUACUUCUAAAUAUUUGGAUAAGUAGAUAUUGAAUGUUGACUUAAAGAUAAUUAAUGUUUGGUAGAAUUAAAAAUGAAAUUUUUACCUCAAAAUUUUGGGUCGUUAGAAGUUGGUAUCAGAGCCAUGGUUUGAUGGAUUCAGGUACACUUUCGGGUGUGACUGAACUCAAACUGAGGAAUUCGUAAUUUUUCUUAAAAAGAAAACAAGUUUCUAAAACGAUUUUUGUAAAAGAAAAGAAAUUUCUAAAAGGAUUUUGUAAAGACAAAGGGGGUGUGAUGCGUGCAAUCGUCCGAGCUCAAGUAAGUGAUUCUCGGAAAAUCCAUUCAUGUUUGUUAUGAUUAUAUGUUAUGAGAAUUGCAUGUGAGGAUGAGGCUAGGGAUACUUUCAGGAAUUGCAUGAUAAAUUGGCCUGAUAUGUGAUACCUUGUAGCCUAGGAAGCAUUGGAUGCUAUGCUAGAUUGGGAAUAUGUAUUGGUACCAGUAAUUGCUAAGUGUAUGCUUUAAAAUUUGUAUACGAUUAGGAUCAUAUAGCCCUAGAGUGAUCGAUUUGGCCUUAUUUCAUGUUCCUUGUUUUUUUGUGGUCCUAGGGUAAUCUUUUAUUCAACAAUCUAUUUGAUUCUGCAUUGUGUAUAAUUUGUGUGAAUAAGGCAACUGACAGUGAGAAUGGAAGUUCCUAGCGUGAGUUGUAGUUUGUGAGCUUAAAUGUUCUUUGGUUAUUAUAUAGGUUAGAGUGCUACUACACGAAUGCUUCUUGCUUUGUGCUUUGUGAAACUCUUAAGUUAUGUGAGAUAACUAUUAAAUGAAUAUGUUAAGUCACAUAUGACAAAGGUUGAAUAAUCUCAGAGUGAUGGAUUUGACCCUAUUGUACAGCUCUUGUUUGAGUCUAACUGUUGUAGGGAUGACUCUUUUACUCGAAGGAUUAUUUGAGAUUUGUUUCAUGUGAUUAUAUUCAUGAGGUAGUUAACUGACAUUAUGGGGAGUUCUUCAGCACUUGAUGGCAGGGUGAGGUCGGAAACCUAGGAAAUCCUCGGAAAUGCUUCAGUGGGUUUUGUUGUGCUAUUUAGCGAGUGCUUAGGAUAUCAAUUUGAGAAGGUGACUUAGAGGAUUCGGGAUAAUUCAUGAGGAAAGUAUGGAUAGGUUUGGAAGGUAGUAUUGGGCCCGUACUACUGAAAGCACAUGAUCCAUACUCGAACUGUGAAGAGUUUUGGAAAAUCUAGGAAGCCUGCCUGAUGAGGAUUCUUGGGUAUGUUCUAAUCUUUUGCAUGUUGUUUUUUUUUUCAGUAUGGCAAUGAGCACACACGAAGGAGGAUCAACUUCUAGUUCCGGCUCAGGUGCAGGUUCUAAGCCGAUUGACGAGUGGAUGUGGGAGUUCAUCUCAUCAGAGAUUACCCGCGGUAUUUUGGAGCAAACUCCUAUAAUAUUUGGUUCGGUCAAGAAGGGGAUUUUUGGAUAUUUUGGAUGAGCGUCUGGGCCCAUUCCGCACUGAGGUUAUGGCUAUUUUUGGAGCUCACACUCUGUCUUUCCGUAAGUUCCGUGCUUGUGGAGCUCCCGCGUUCUUUGGGGAUAAGGACCCCAUUGCUAGUAGGAGAUGGUUAGAAGAUAUGGUUAACGCCUUCAAGAUGAGGUUCUGUCCCGAGGAGUCGAAGGUCAAAUUUGCCUUCUAUCUUCUAAAGGACUGAGUUCAUGAUUGGUGGGAGGAGGUAGACUUCGCUUUGGGAGGCGAAGCCCUAGAGAUGAUGACAUAGGAUGAGUUUGUGACCUGAUUUAGGGCAGAGUUUUCACCAACUAUUGAGGUACAACAAUUGGUGAGGGAGUUUCAAUACCUUCGCCAGACGACUGAGACUGUGGCAGAGAUCACUGCCAAGUUUCGGGGAGAGGGAUUUGUUGGUUCCGCAUUAUGAUGUGGACGAGGAAAUGAAGAAGGUAAGGUAUCAUGACAUGUUGAAAGAUGACAUCCAGGAGUUUUGAGUUUAUCAGGGUGCGAGACCCUAACUGAUAUGAUUGCUAGAGCAUGAAAACGUGAGAUUGAUUUGGAGCCUUUCGAGAAGAGGAAGCCAAAGUAGACUGAGAUUUCAGUAAGCCAGGUAAAGAGGCAUAAGACUUAGGAUUUGGUAGGCCAUUAGGGUCGGGGUUGGGGCCGGUACGCCCAGUGUGGGAAGACUCAUUAGGGAGGAUGUUAGGAGACAAGCCGAGGAUGUUACAAUUGUGGUCAGAUGGGUCAUUUUAGUCGGGAUUUAUGUCGUGGGUUGGAUCCAACGUGUUUUCACUGCAAUCAGGUGGGCCACAAGAAGGCCGACUAUCCGAUGUUGAGGGGCUGAGCAGCGAGUGCACCUGUUCCAGUUACUUUGAGGAUCAUUGACGGUCGUGAGGGUAAGGAAAGAGCCCUAGUAGCGAGGAGCCGAGCAUUGCAGUGUCAGUCAGGGGAGGCCAGGGUUUGAUCAGGUACUAUUGUGGGUAUGUAAUCUAAGAUUUCUUCUUGCUUAUUAUCAAUAUUUAUAUUGCUUUGGAAUCUUGUAAUGGUUUGGCUAAGCAUUAUCUUUGGUUUAGUUCUCUGUUAUUUCUUGGGUUAUAUCAUCAAGAAUUGUUAUAUGCCAUUUUGAAUGCCAAGAGUCAUUAGUGGUUCGUCUUGCUAAGCAAGUUUCAGUUUGUUCGGUUGUUGUUCCGAUUCUAUGAUGGGGUCAAUUCAGGGGUAUUGUUAGGAAGGUCUAUGGUUGGAUUAGCUAUUUAGUUCUCCAGUGAAGUCAUAGUUCAGUCGUGUUAGCAUUUGAUCGGGUAAGAUCGCCAGUCGUCUAGGGAAGAACCUUUGGUCCAAUCACUGCCGUUGUUAGGGGAGGAGCGGUAGCAAGAAGAUGCCGGUGGCACUCUCCAGAGUCGUUUGGUCACUGGAAGUGCCAGGGUAAUUUUAUAAUCACAAGGGUUGAAGAUGGUUCAAAUUUGGAGAUCCUUCUGAGGAUGGGAAGUCGGAGUGAAGAUUCACCAAUUCAUAGCAAGGGUUAGGGUCUUUGUCACCAACAUAAAGGACUCAAGGAUUUUGUGCGGUACCAUGGGAAGAUAUCAGGAUUAUCAGGCUUGUGAGAUUUCGGGGACUUUUCUUCUUGAUUUAAGAGUUGUGUGGUCAUCAAAAUUGGAUAGUAAUGGAACGCUGGCAUUUGUAAACUCAUGUUGUCAUUAGUCUAAGUCGUAAGGCUGUGAGAUGGAUUGGAAAUUCAUCAAAUCUUAAGGAUUACAAAAGCGCAGUCGAAUCCAAGUGGGGGAGAAUCUUUUGGUCUAAGGGAUUGAACAAGAAAGGAUAUUUGUGUUUCGUUGCACAUCAGUAGUGACGCGCAGUGGGUAUGUGGUAGAUCCUGGUUGAGGGUUGUGUUAGAGCAUCGCCGCCUAUUCUUGUUUGAUGAAGACUUUAGGGUUCGAAGCAUGACCCGAACACCUGAUUAGGAUUUAGUCAGAUGCAAGUUCGACUCAAGAUGAUUGUGGUUGAUAUGGUAGAGGUGUGGUAAGACCAUGGGGCAUUCGAGAUGACCCUGGACGCAGUAGAGGAUAGAACAGAUAACGCUAGGGGGGACCAAGUGAAGGAAGAUGUUUACCCAGAUUUUACGACACUAAGUGGUCAUUCCACAUAAAUAGUAUUGUAGUAUAUAGCCUAAUAUAAGAGGCAUUAUGUAUGGUAAACUCGAACAAGUAUUUUAAUCGUUUUCAAAAGUUAUAUAAAGAUCCCUAGUCGUGUUAUACUAAUCAAUGUGAUUAGUUGCUGUGUGAUAAUUUCCAUGUAUGGAGGCUUGGAAAAUUGUGAGAUAAUUUUUGUGAUGAGUAUGAGUAGGUGUGAAAGGUAGUAUGGUCCUGUACUAUCAGAACCACAAGACUUGUACUUCGAUCAGGAGGAGUCACAAGGCUACUAAGGCACUGGUAAUUGAGUUUAUUUUUUAAAAUUUCUUCAUUACCUUCGUUUCAGUGAUGAAUAGGAAGAAGAUUCCUAAUCGAACCCUGUUAACUGUAAAGGAUUGAAUCUGAUUGAUAUCCACAAAGUCAGUUACCCGGUUUUGAGAACCAUAUUCGACAUAGUGUCUGAAUUUAAUUUUAAGGUUGAAGAAGGAGAUGAUUGAGGAAAUCGACAUACAAAUUGUAGUCGUGGUUAAAACUAAGUAGCUAGUAGCUAGUAAUGUCACCUAUAAUAAUGUGGUUGUACCACAUUAGAACAUGAAGGAACGUAUCCUCUAUGCUAGAGUGUGACUCAAAGAGACAUGAGUCUAUCCAUUGCAUCAUAUGAUGAAAGGUCAUUAGAGCAUAGUCCAUCAGUCUGUUAUGGAAGUCGAAGUGAAGACAUUAUCUUACGUUAAGUGUGUUCUAGAAGGAGCAGGAGUAUCCAAUAAAUAAUGAUUUUAGAAGGAAGAUCAUGUUCAGGGUUAAGCACCGCCAACAGUUGAGAAGCCUAAGAGUUAGAAAAUCAUUUGAAAAGACAUAAGAGUUACAACUAUUGUCUAGGAUGGAAAGAUAACUUAUGGAGUCAUUAUACAAGCCAUGUUUUGCUAAUGAUUUCGGGACAUAAUCAUCCUGAAGUAGGAUAUAAUUGUAAUGCCCACAAAUUUGGGUUAGACAAAUAAGAUAUAAUAAGCGAUAAAAAACGACUUGUUGACAGAAUAUUAUUUAGGAUAAAUAAUAUUAAGCGAAGUUAUAGUAUAUGUGACAACGAUUUUGUAUAUAUAAAGAAAGUUGGAAUCUAACUUGUAUGAAGAAGUUAUGCUUCUUCAAAUUUUUGUGAUUAAACCGAAACGAGUUUUUGUAUCGUAAAAAAACGAAUUUUUGAUCGAUAACUUAUUAGACUAAGUGAUAUAAUCUAAAAUCAUAGUAGUCCUCAAACCUACAACAUGCAUAUAAAGAACGUCCAAAUCUGACUUUGUGAGAAAAACUUAUAAUUUUUUGAAGAUUCAGCGUAUCAAUAUACAACUCAGAAACUGAAUUAAAAUCAGUCAAUUUUUAGGAAAAACAUUCUAAACGAAAGUUGAAGAUCUGAUCAAUACAUAUCCGUCGAUAUAAAGACAUUCGAGAACGUACGUCAGAAAAGAGAGUUAUGAAUUUUUAGCGGACUUUAACAGUCUAAAGCUGUUAAAAAUAUAACUUUAAAAAUAAAUUCAAAUUAGCCGAUUGGGUCUAAAUGAAUGUUGUAUACGAAUCUGACUAACCACCCAAAUGUCGCUACGCGUCAGACUAGGAAUCUGCCACAUUACCUCUUCUAACACUGUGUAUAAUACGUAUGGGACAUGGUGUGCGACACGCAUCCUUCCCAUACGUAUAAAUUCGUCGCUUUCAAUCUCAUUUUCUCACAAAUCAAACCCAGAUCUCUCUGGUCUUCUUUCACACUUUGACUCCCAAUUUUUCCGGGCUUCUGAACUUUUUUGGAAGGUUGUGGAGUAGCCACGAGCCUGACGAAAAGAAGUAUUUGGGUCAAGAUUAUGUCCUCGCAAUUUCCUGGUUUUCACUAAAAUCUGUAUAAGUUAAGCUAUACUUAUUUUAUUUCAAGUGUAACUUAUAUUUGUGUUCAUAGUCAUUAUUAUGAACCUAUAAAUAAGAUUUAUCAAUAAUUCCAAGUCAUUAUACUGAUUGAUCUACUUAUCGGGAUGAGGUCUAGGCUGGAUUUAGUGAGGUGUUUAAAGUGAGAUUUUCAAACAGUAUAUUUUGUAUGCCACACAGACGCUACAUUCGAUAUGAUCGUACAUGGUUCUUCCUUAAUUGAUAGAUCUUCAUGUAAACAUUAGGAUUAGUGAGGAAUCCAGGCUAUCAUUAGUCGCCAGGAAAUAAGACUAAGAAUUAGUAAUAUGAACCUAGGUCACGUCAGAGGAAAAAUUGAAAUACAAAGGCGAAGUUCUGCCCAAAUUCUAAGGCAUCCACUUUUACUAAGUGAGUGCAUAGUUACUUUCAAAUUACACAUAGAUACAAGUAUUCUAAAUGCUUAAAUGUUAUGUGUGUUAUUUUUCGUGUGUUUAAUAUAUAUGUACAAUAUGAUAUGAUCGUUACUUAAUCUAAUCGUAUAUUAUACUUACUGAUAUGUUUGGGUAGUAAAGGGUUGUAUGAAAUAACAAACGAGAUGUCAGGAUAGGGCUGUGUGAGAUAGUGGUUGUGAUAGGUUAAGUGAAAGUUGUGCAAAGUAAUAAGUCAUUACUUGCCGUGUCUACUCAAAGUACUAUUGUACUGUCGUGCUUACCCAAAGUACUAUCGUAUUGUCGUGCCUAACCAAAUUACUAUUUGUACUUCGUUUUGUGUACAAAAUAUUAUAUUACUGUCGUGCCUAAUCAUUUAGGGAAAUAUAGAUGACUGUUGUCAAAGAUCCUUUAGAAAAGAUCUAUCAAGAUCAUUAAUCUAGGAUUAGGAAACAAGAAUAACGGGAAUAGUGUAAUUGGGUUAUUAAAAUGUUGAAGAUUAUAUAAUGAAAGAUUAUAAUAUUGUGGGUUGAAAGCAUUAUAUGCUUAUCAGGUUUCCCAACCUAACCCUCUCAGUUCCAUUGUAUCACAAGUAGCGAUACGAAGGUACUAAAAAAUAAUGUAAUAUCUACUGAGAGGUUUAAAGGAGCUCGUAGGCUGCUAGAAUAUUGAUGUAAGAGCUGUUGAUUCUUAUGUCAUAAGGUUCCAAUGUCACUGUUUUCGGAUUGGAAUGUUUGUUUCACUUCCAAAAUUUGGAAGAUGUUUCAUGAGGCAUUAGAUACUCAGUUAUAUUUUAGUACGGUUUUACCACCCACAGAUUGACGGAUAGAGUGAGUGAAUGAUUCAGCCACUCGGGGACAUUUUUCGUGCAUGUGUAUUGGAUUUUGGUGGGAGUUGGGAUACGUAUCUCCUAUUAGUCGAGUUCUCGUAUAACAACAACUACCACGCCAACAUUGAUCGACCUCCUUUCACGAUGCUUUACUGUAGGAAGUUUCGAACACCGAUAUGUUGGGUGAGGUCCAUCUAGAGCUUGGGAAGGAUCAGAUCUGAGCAUUGGAGCUCUUGGAAUUGGGAGGAAAAAAGCUUAACUCCUUAAGUUGUUCAGACCUAGUUCCUACGACGUGGUGACUGGGCAUCAACCCAUUUGUUUUACCUUUACACGACCGCAAGGCGGCUAAAGGAAGGCCACGACAUGGAGGCUUGCUGAUGAUUAAUUAUUGACUUUGACUUGGUCGUUAACUGUUGACUUUGACCUAGCUUGACUUUUGGGUCAAAUUGCAAGUUUAAAAGGUGAAUUAAGGUUUCAUUUUGAAUAAUUGAUUAGGUGGCGUUUAGCACCCGUUCAUCGUGUGUAUGUGUAUGAGUUGUUGGAUUUUGACUACCUUCGCAAUGUGAGUUUUCUCACUAUAAUGUAGGUUGUUGGACUUUCUUUGUGACUCUUGCAUGUUUACGUAUGUUUAUUGGGUUAGGGCCGAUUAUAUGGGUUGGGCUUGAAUUUGUAGGUUGGGCUUGGAAACAUGUAUGCUGGGAUGAGCCCUUUCUUAUAUAGUAUAUGAUAUUUUGGGGAAUUCAAUGAGCUUUGUGCUAUGUUUGCUGUUUACAUGCUACAAAUACUUCCAGUUCGAAAGAGAAGAGCUCGGCAUGAUCGCAUUACAUACCCCAAAGUUUAUUCUACAUUAUCUUUCAGAUUUGUCAUUGAUAUUUUGAGGAUACAUUACAAUACUAUGAUUGUCUUUUUAUUCGAAUGAUUGGAUUUGGGCUUGGUUAAUUAAAAAUAUAAUUUUUACUGAUUAUUUUCGGGUUGAUACAAACGAUCAUUUCCCCAAAUCAUUAAUAGGUUAGGUUGGAUAAUUGCUUCACUUUAUGAUCGUCACUUUUGUCAAUAUCCAUGUAUAUUAUAUUGGUACAUAGGGAAUAUGUAUUUUAAGUAACUUAAAUUUGGCUGUUAAUGUAUUUAUUUGUUAAGUAAAUUAAAAUUAUUUAUUUCUUUAUUGUUGAAACAUGCCUGUAUUGUUUUUGAAUUAUUUACAUACCUUUGUUACAUGCUGAUAGUUAUAAAAUAUAUUUGAUAUUCUAUAUCAAAGUCAAUAUUAUAUUUUCCUAGAUGGUAUUAAUGUCGCCUCAACUUGAUAACAAAUAUUUUCUAUUUAGUUUUUGUUCUCAAAUAAGUAAGUAAGUUAGAGACUUGUAAAUUUAAAUCAUGAAUUUGAUAUUGUUAUAAUCUAUCAUCUCUUAGGGGGCACGGCGUGGGCAACUCCCACCUUUUGUUUUUGAGUAAAUAUCUCAAGACCAAUUUUAAGGUCUACCAAUUUGUCUUUAAAUUAUUUAAACCCACCAUAUUAAUAUAAAAGCGUUAGACAAAUGGGGUAGGGGCUAUGCACCUUCCUACGCCCUAAAAAUAUCAAUGUUUCAUUAUUCAUGAUUUAAUAAUUUAAAUACAUUAAAGCAUGAUAGUACUUGGAUCGUGGUUUUUCCAUAUCUACUUUGAGAAUAUAUUAUAUAUAAAAAGGGGAUUUUUACCAAAAUCGGAACUCGUUUUUUAACAUGUCUAACCCAAUAAUUUUAUAGAAUUCAUAUUUCUUUUUUACAAUGCAAAUGUGUUGCAUACUAUAUGUAUCUCAUUGGCUAGUCUACAAAAAUCAACUAGUCAUGAGGGAAAAUGAAUCAACAAUCUAUCUUAAAUUUAAAAGUAAUAAAUUAAUCUAGAAGCUCCAUAAAGACUCGUCAACAAAAAAUUCGACGUUAUCCUCAUAACUGCCAUAUCCCACCGUCUGCGGAGGCGCUACCAUCAGUCCCUCCGCCAUGCUGACAAAAAAUUCCGGCAUCUCAAAAAUAUCUUCUUCAUCCACGUAAUACAAAAUUUCCGGCAACUCCUUCGUAUCCACAAUCUCCACCUCUUCCUCCGAGUAUCUAAAAGCCUCCGCAGCUUCGGCAGCGGCCUUUUGUAUAUCUACAAUACUGCUAGACUUCGGGACCGGCAGCCGCCACACAGAAUCAACAAAAUUCAAACAAGCCCGUCGUCCCCUGAAGGCAAACGCCGCCACAUCAUGUGCUCUUGCUGCCAUUAUAGCUGUAGGAUGAGUCCCUAACCACACCCUCAUGUUCUUGUUCGGUUCUCUUAACUCACAAACCCACUUCCCGUUAUCCCUCAUUCUCACUCCUCGGUAAACCGGGUGUCGAGUCUCUCUAAACUUCUUCCUUCCGGCCUUCUUCUUCGGGUUUCGUGAAGCCAACAUCACUUCGGAUUCAGCAGCCGCAUUCAAGACUGAGCUUUUGCUACGACAUGAGGUCAAAAAGUGUGCUAAUGGAACACUUUCCGAUGAUACUGCUGGAAAUGGGUUGUAAGAUUCGAUAAAGGUAUCCAUACGUUGGUAGUGUGACAAAUAUAUGUGGUGAAUUUACGGUUGUUGGUAGUUUUUGCUAGUUAGCUAU
Molecule: long non-coding RNA, 16613 nt
Filed under: Lactuca sativa (garden lettuce)
Lineage: Eukaryota; Viridiplantae; Streptophyta; Magnoliopsida; Asterales; Asteraceae
Description: long non-coding RNA (LSAT_LNC009356)
Source: RNAcentral